This 700-nucleotide ribosomal RNA is filed under the name Streptomyces violascens. RNAcentral's name for it is "bacterial SSU rRNA". It matches the Rfam family "Bacterial small subunit ribosomal RNA", at positions 39 to 752 of the family's 1533-position model. The record is from RNAcentral. Lineage: Bacteria; Bacillati; Actinomycetota; Actinomycetes; Kitasatosporales; Streptomycetaceae.
GUGGGGGUGCUUAACACAUGGCAAGUCGAACGAUGAACCGCUUUCGGGCGGGGAUUAGUGGCGAACGGGUGAGUAACACGUGGGCAAUCUGCCCUGCACUCUGGGACAAGCCCUGGAAACGGGGUCUAAUACCGGAUAUGACUGUCCAUCGCAUGGUGGAUGGUGUAAAGCUCCGGCGGUGCAGGAUGAGCCCGCGGCCUAUCAGCUUGUUGGUGAGGUAGUGGCUCACCAAGGCGACGACGGGUAGCCGGCCUGAGAGGGCGACCGGCCACACUGGGACUGAGACACGGCCCAGACUCCUACGGGAGGCAGCAGUGGGGAAUAUUGCACAAUGGGCGAAAGCCUGAUGCAGCGACGCCGCGUGAGGGAUGACGGCCUUCGGGUUGUAAACCUCUUUCAGCAGGGAAGAAGCGAAAGUGACGGUACCUGCAGAAGAAGCGCCGGCUAACUACGUGCCAGCAGCCGCGGUAAUACGUAGGGCGCAAGCGUUGUCCGGAAUUAUUGGGCGUAAAGAGCUCGUAGGCGGCUUGUCACGUCGGUUGUGAAAGCCCGGGGCUUAACCCCGGGUCUGCAGUCGAUACGGGCAGGCUAGAGUUCGGUAGGGGAGAUCGGAAUUCCUGGUGUAGCGGUGAAAUGCGCAGAUAUCAGGAGGAACACCGGUGGCGAAGGCGGAUCUCUGGGCCGAUACUGACGCUGAGGA